This 74-nucleotide small nucleolar RNA is filed under the name Catagonus wagneri (Chacoan peccary). RNAcentral describes it as "Small nucleolar RNA SNORD18 (ENSCWAG00000015475.1)". It matches the Rfam family "Small nucleolar RNA SNORD18". From Rfam's summary of the family: U18 is a member of the C/D class of snoRNA which contain the C (UGAUGA) and D (CUGA) box motifs. It is encoded in introns of ribosomal protein L1 in Xenopus and human, and in introns of elongation factor 1 beta in yeast. Lineage: Eukaryota; Metazoa; Chordata; Mammalia; Artiodactyla; Tayassuidae. The record is from Rfam by way of RNAcentral.
UCAAAAUGAUGAGAUUCCACUUCAUUGGUCCGUGUUUCUGAAAAAAACAUGAUAUUUGUGGGAAUUCUGAUUUG